CCCAGACCUGAGCUCCAGUGGCCCCCAAGUAAAUUGAGUUUGAGACCCCUGUUCUAAAGGAAUAACCUCACUCUUUUGGACCAUCCUGCAUCCAAUCCAAUUGGGAACAUUUGGGAACAGAUGGCAAGGGAAGUUUACUCGUCAGAGCCCCAGCUGGCUGGACCUUACAUAAUUGCACAGCCUCACCCAGACCCUAGCUCCAGUGGCCCCCAGGUGAGGAUGUGGCCUGCUGUGUCCAAGCUUGGGGGAAGUUUACGCUGAAUUCCCCCCAUCCGACCCGCACUUCCUGCUAUGAGC
Molecule: non-coding RNA, 297 nt
Organism: Doryrhamphus excisus (bluestripe pipefish)
Lineage: Eukaryota; Metazoa; Chordata; Actinopteri; Syngnathiformes; Syngnathidae
Source: RefSeq, a predicted model, not a curated record